RNAcentral lists this ribosomal RNA (614 nucleotides) under Haloarcula sp. GoH4. RNAcentral describes it as "bacterial SSU rRNA". It matches the Rfam family "Archaeal small subunit ribosomal RNA", at positions 374 to 985 of the family's 1478-position model. The record is from RNAcentral. Lineage: Archaea; Methanobacteriati; Methanobacteriota; Halobacteria; Halobacteriales; Haloarculaceae.
GGGGACUCCGAGUGUGAGGGCAUAUAGCCCUCGCUUUUCUGUACCGUAAGGUGGUACAGGAACAAGGACUGGGCAAGACCGGUGCCAGCCGCCGCGGUAAUACCGGCAGUCCAAGUGAUGGCCGAUAUUAUUGGGCCUAAAGCGUCCGUAGCUUGCUGGGUAAGUCCAUUGGGAAAUCGACCAGCUCAACUGGUCGGCGUCCGGUGGAAACUACACAGCUUGGGGCCGAAAGACUCGACGGGUACGUCCGGGGUAGGAGUGAAAUCCUGUAAUCCUGGACGGACCACCAAUGGGGAAACCACGUUGAGAGACCGGACCCGACAGUGAGGGACGAAAGCCAGGGUCUCGAACCGGAUUAGAUACCCGGGUAGUCCUGGCUGUAAACAAUGCUCGCUAGGUAUGUCACACGCCAUGAGCACGUGAUGUGCCGUAGUGAAGACGAUAAGCGAGCCGCCUGGGAAGUACGUCCGCAAGGAUGAAACUUAAAGGAAUUGGCGGGGGAGCACCACAACCGGAGGAGCCUGCGGUUUAAUUGGACUCAACGCCGGACAUCUCACCGGUCCCGACAGUAGUAAUGACGGUCAGGUUGACGACUUUACCCGACGCUACUGAGA